This 3056-nucleotide small RNA is filed under the name Pyricularia oryzae. RNAcentral describes it as "Magnaporthe oryzae sRNA M_BR32_EuGene_00146651". The record is from RNAcentral. Lineage: Eukaryota; Fungi; Ascomycota; Sordariomycetes; Magnaporthales; Pyriculariaceae.
AUCCUUAUAUUAAACCGCAUUAUUGCACUAAUCCCUUUAAAAAAAAUCAACUCCCGACCCGGCGAACUUUUUCUAACCAUUGAUAAUUUAAAAUACGCCGCACCGCAGAAAAUUAACCUGGUGGCCUUUAUCCUGGAAAAAAACCUAAAAUAACGUUUAGGUCGUUAUAAUAAUUUUUUAACGGUACCCGAAAUUACCCAAAAUGGUUAAGAUUUUUUAAAACAGCUUUUAUCCGCAAAAUUUAAAAGCCCAAGAUUUUCGGCCAUAAAAGCUAAAAUAAAACCCUUAAUUGUCUGAAAAAGAAUUACUGGUGGCUCGAACGAAAUCGAAACGUUAAACGCUAUAUUAAAAAUUGUCGCGAAUAUUAAUGCAAUAAAAUAUAAUAUAACAAAACGCCUGGGCUAUUACACCCAUUGGAAAUUCCUAAACAAUAUUAGCAAUAUUUAAUAAUAUAUAGCAAAAUUAUACCCAAGGAUAAAAAAUAUUAUAAUUAUAUUUGGGUUUUUAUCUGCCGAUUAACCAAAUUUUUGGCUAUUUUACCGGGAAAAAAGACGGACAUCGCGGAGAUUUUGGUUAUACGGUAUUAUUAAAUUAUAUACCGUUGAAAAAACGUCCCAGAUAUAUAAUUCUCCGACAGCGCCGGACCGUUUAUAUCCGAGUUCCUAAAUACUUUAAGCGAAUUAACAGGAAUAACGUGGUUGUACAAUACCCUGCGCAGGACAGUACCCUGCGCACUCUUUUCGCACCAUACCACCUUUAAUUUUAAUAUAUAGUUUUUCCACAACGCAAAAUACCACUAAUUAUAAAUAAAUUACGGAUUAUUUUAGCUAUUAAAACUAUUCGAUUAAAUACAGAAUUAAACCACGGAACCGCUGCAAAAGUUUACAAUAUACCCGAAUUAAUACUACGCUAUAAAAUAAAAGGCGUAAUUUUUAUAACCGACCGUCGAUUAAAUGUUAAAAAUUUGACGGAAAACGAAAAAAGAUAAUUAUCCAAUAUAUAUUAGAUUUAAAUUUACGAGGGUUUCCGUUUUAAAUUAUUAACGUGGCCGCAAUAACCGACUAUAUUUUCGCUGCGCGGAACGCGCGACAGGUCGGAAUUCGUUGGGCGAGUCGUUUCGUCCAACGCCGUAUAAAAUUAAAAACGCGUUUUUUUCGCGUUUAUAAUUUCCAAAGGGCUUUACGCGAAAAUCCUAACGCGCUGAACGCGUAAUUUUAAUUUAUAACCAAUAUAAAAGCCAGAUAUAAUAUUUAAAAUUAUAAUAUUUACAAUUUCGACGAAACCGGUUUUAUAAUACGUUAUAUUUGCGGCGCAAUAGUUGUAACCAGGUUUAAAUAACGCGGAAAAAAUAAAAAAAUACAGCCUGGUAAUUAAAAAUAGGCGAUUGCAAUUUGUUACAUUAAUAGCGACGGUAAUAAUAUAGCCCCAUUUUUUAUUGUUAAAAACGUUUACCAUUUCGCGAAAUGGUAUAUAAACGGCGGUUUUCCGCCAUUUUGGCGUAUAAAACCCAUUUUUAAUAAAUGGAUAAAUAAUAAAAUAGGCCUAAAAUGGGUUUAACAAUUUAAUAAUUAUAUUAAAUCGCGGAUAAAAGGCGUAUAUCAAAUGCUGGUAUUCGAUAAAUAUAACAAUUACCAAUCGCCGGAAUUCGAAAACUAUUGUAAAAAUUAUAACAUUAUUCCGGUUUAUUUGCCUAUUUAUUUAUUGUAUUUUAUUUAAUUAUUUAAUAUCGGAAUGUUUGAUAUUUUAAAGCAGGCGUACGGUUAAAAAAUUAAUAAUUUUAUCCGGGUUUAUAUUACUAAUAUUAACAAAAUUAAAUUUCUUUUGGUUUUUAUUACAGUUUAUAAAAAGUUUAUAACAAAAGAAAAAUAUAACUGGGGAUUUUCGAAAAGGUGGAUUUAUUUUAUAUAACCCGGAAACGGUUAUAUCCAAAUUGGAUGUUAAAUUAUAAACGCCGUUACCUAAAAAACCUAUUUUUUCUAAUAUUAGCAUUUGGGUUUUUUAAACGCUGUAUAACCCGAUAAAAGGUGUUUAUAAAUUAAUUUCUGUUAAAAACCGGAUUAACGGUUAUUAAAAGAAAUUUCCAACGCCUAUUUUCAAUAUUGUAAAACAGUUAAUUAGAUAUAUGAAAAGAAUGGCGCACCAAAUUUAUUUUUAUAUAUGCAAAACUGCGUAAUUUUCAAAAGGUUAACGAAACGUUUAAUAACCGGCGCAGGGUUAAAAAAAUAUAUAUCCGCGUAAAAGGAUUAUUUACUAUAUAAAACGUUCAAAUCUUGUUGCAAUUGAAAAAUAAAAAUGGUCCGGGGUACGAAAACAAAAAUAAAAAUGGGGAAAGAAAUAGUACGUAACCGGCGAUUAAACGGCGCUGUGGUAAUUGCGGAAAAAUGAGAUAUAAUGCACGUAUUUGUUCAAAAAUAAAAAAAUAUCCGAUAUAUAUAAUUCUAAUUGUAUUAAGGUAAAUUAAGCGAUGUUGGCGUUAUAAUUGAAAUUGGGAGUUGGGCCAACCGGAAAAGUGCACAGGAUAAUAUCCUGCGCAGGGUACUGUACAACCACGUUAAAAUACAAAUAUAAAAACGCCCGCCACCUUUAAAUUACGGCAGCGUCAAAAUUACCAACGUUAAAUUGGAUUAGAAAAUGCGCUUUUAUAUAAAUAAAUACCAAACAAAUUGGCGACGGUAUAUUCUUAUUUUUAAUUUCGGCGACAAUUUGUCCGUUUACGCCUUUAGCGGUAUAAUACCCAUCGAAACAAAAAUAGGAAUUUGUUUAAAGAACCUGUUUUUUUUUACUUUUACCCCGAAAAACCUGGAAACCAGUCAGCAAUAAAAAAGGCUGGAAAUAAUCCGCCAAACCCGGUAAAUUUAAAUAUUAGCCCGUGUUACAAUAGCGAUCCCAAAAAGAUAAAGCUGCAAUAUAAGCGCGAUUUUAUUCGAAAAUCUAAAACUAAAUGUGAAAAAAACAAAGGUAUGCAAUAUUAAUCGCGUAUACGCCUUUAAACAAACAAAUACUAAAUUAACCCUGGCGUUUUAUUAUAUAAAAUAAAGCUAAUUACGGUUAACAAU